RNAcentral lists this long non-coding RNA (1145 nucleotides) under Gossypium barbadense (sea-island cotton). Its description in RNAcentral is "long non-coding RNA (GBAR_LNC018827)". Lineage: Eukaryota; Viridiplantae; Streptophyta; Magnoliopsida; Malvales; Malvaceae. The record is from RNAcentral.
AUCUUUCACACAACAAUCUCUCUGGUGAAAUCCCGACCACGUUGCUCCAAAUGAUCAGUCUUUAUUCAUUUGAUUUUUCCUACAACGAGUUGACGGGUUCGGUUCCAAUUGCUGGUCCAUUCCAAAAUGCUUCCCAAGAAGCCUUUGCUGGAAACUCAGGAUUGUGUGCAAAUAUCAAAGGACUUUCUCCUUGUGGUUCAGUUUCAACUAGUAAGAGCUCGAGACAGCGUACCGUAAAGGUGGUUCUUGGUAUUACACUUCCUGUCUUUGGCGUAUUAGCAACUGCGGCUGCAAUUUUCACUUGUCGUCACCGAAGAAAUCAACUAGAUAAGGAAGCUGAAGGUAGAAAGUUCGAACAUUCUGAGUCAAUAUGGAACACAAUAGAAAGAAGGUUCAAAUUUGGAGACAUAGUAAAAGCAACAGAGGAUUUCAAUGAAAGGUACUGCAUUGGGAAAGGAGGAUCAGGCAGUGUUUACAUAGCAGAAUUGCCUACAUGUCAAGUAGUUGCAGUUAAAAAACUCAAUAUACCAGACUCCAUUGACGUUGAAGUCAUCAAUCGGCAAAGUUUUGAGAAUGAAAUCCUUAUGCUAACAGAAAUUAGGCAUCGAAACAUCAUCAAGCUAUACGGGUCUUGUUCUCAUAAAGGGCUAAUGUACUUGGUUUAUGAGUAUAUGGAAAGAGGAAGCUUAAAAAGUGCAUUGUAUGGAGAAGAAGGUGGAGUUGAGCUAGGCUGGGCUAAAAGGGUGAAAAUUGUGCAAGGAUUGGCUCACGCAGUUGCUUACCUGCAUCAUGAUUGUUCCCCACCUGUUAUACACCGAGACAUAUCUUUGAGUAAUGUUUUGUUGGAAGCUGGAUUGGAGCCAAAACUUUCAGAUUUCGGAACCGCGAGAUUGUUGGAUCCCAAUUCAUCCAAUUGGACGGCUGUUGUUGGGUCUUAUGGCUACAUGGCUCCAGGUUAACAAUAUAAUUUCUGCAUUCUUAUUUCACAUACUCUCUGAAUAACACUAUAUGAAGGCUUAAAGUUUUUUCUUUUUGUUUACCUGGAAUGUCUAGAGUUGGCACUCACCAUGCGGCUGACAAAUAAAUGCGAUGUUUAUAGCUUUGGAGUAGUGGCAUUAGAGGUAAUGAUGGGAAGACACCCAGGG